This 465-nucleotide ribosomal RNA is filed under the name Vreelandella stevensii. Its description in RNAcentral is "partial 16S ribosomal RNA". It matches the Rfam family "Bacterial small subunit ribosomal RNA", at positions 338 to 795 of the family's 1533-position model. Lineage: Bacteria; Pseudomonadati; Pseudomonadota; Gammaproteobacteria; Oceanospirillales; Halomonadaceae. The record is from RNAcentral.
CCUACGGGUGGCUGCAGUGGGGAAUAUUGGACAAUGGGGGGAACCCUGAUCCAGCCAUGCCGCGUGUGUGAAGAAGGCCCUCGGGUUGUAAAGCACUUUCAGUGAGGAAGAACGCCUGGUGGUUAAUACCCAUCAGGAAAGACAUCACUCACAGAAGAAGCACCGGCUAACUCCGUGCCAGCAGCCGCGGUAAUACGGAGGGUGCGAGCGUUAAUCGGAAUUACUGGGCGUAAAGCGCGCGUAGGUGGCUUGAUAAGCCGGUUGUGAAAGCCCCGGGCUCAACCUGGGAACGGCAUCCGGAACUGUCAAGCUAGAAUGCAGGAGAGGAAGGUAGAAUUCCCGGUGUAGCGGUGAAAUGCGUAGGGAUCGGGAGGAAUACCAGUGGCGAAGGCGGCCUUCUGGAAUGACACUGACACUGAGGUGCGAAAGCGUGGGUAGCAAACAGGAAUAGAUACCCUAGUAGUC